CCUACGGGGGGCAGCAGUGGGGAAUAUUGGGCAAUGGGCGCAAGCCUGACCCAGCAACGCCGCGUGAAGGAUGAAGGUUUUCGGAUUGUAAACUUCUGUCGCGAGGGACGAAGAAUGACGGUACUUCGUAAGAAAGCCCCGGCUAACUACGUGCCAGCAGCCGCGGUAAUACGGAGGGGGCACGCGUUGUCCGGAAUGACUGGGGUUAAGGGGAGUGUAGGCGGCUUUUUAAGUUAGAUGUGAAAUCAUACGGCUAAACCGUAGAAGUGCAUCUAAAACUGGGAUGAUUGAGUACAGGAGAGGUAGGAGGAAUUCGUGGUGUAGGGGUGAAAUGCUUAGAUAUGAGGAAGAACACCGAGGG
Molecule: ribosomal RNA, 361 nt
Filed under: uncultured bacterium
Lineage: Bacteria
Description: partial 16S ribosomal RNA
Rfam family: Bacterial small subunit ribosomal RNA
Source: RNAcentral